This 60-nucleotide transfer RNA is filed under the name Typosyllis sp. patternB. Its description in RNAcentral is "tRNA-Tyr". The record is from RNAcentral. Lineage: Eukaryota; Metazoa; Annelida; Polychaeta; Phyllodocida; Syllidae.
AAUAAAGUGGCUGAGUAUAAGCAAAAGAAUGUAAAUCUUUAUAUGGGUAACCCUUUAUCA